UACGUAGGCAGCAAGCGUUGUUCGGAGUUACUGGGCGUAAAGAGCUCGUAGGCGGUCUGUUACGUCUGCUGUGAAAACCCAGGGCUUAACCCUGGGCUUGCAGUGGAUACGGGCAGACUAGAGGCAGGUAGGGGAGAAUGGAAUUCCCGGUGUAGCGGUGAAAUGCGCAGAUAUCGGGAGGAACACCGGUGGCGAAGGCGGUUCUCUGGGCCUGACCUGACGCUGAGGAGCGAAAGCGUGGGGAGCGAACAGG
This 253-nucleotide ribosomal RNA is filed under the name uncultured bacterium. Its description in RNAcentral is "partial 16S ribosomal RNA". It matches the Rfam family "Bacterial small subunit ribosomal RNA", at positions 524 to 776 of the family's 1533-position model. The record is from RNAcentral.